CCCUGAAGGGCCGGGAGAGACCAUCCCGUCAAGAGGUCACACGUGGACGUCGGGCAACCGAUUUCAAGCGAAGUGAUCCUCAUCGCCCGUGAGGCUUGAUCUU
This 103-nucleotide ribosomal RNA is filed under the name Gemmatimonadota bacterium. RNAcentral's name for it is "partial 23S ribosomal RNA". It matches the Rfam family "Bacterial large subunit ribosomal RNA", at positions 2825 to 2925 of the family's 2925-position model. Lineage: Bacteria; Pseudomonadati; Gemmatimonadota. The record is from RNAcentral.